CCUACGGGGGGCAGCAGUGAGGAAUAUUGGUCAAUGGACGAGAGUCUGAACCAGCCAAGUAGCGUGAAGGAUGACUGUCCUAUGGGUUGUAAACUUCUUUUAUAAAGGAAUAAAACGAGGCACGUGUGCCUUUUUGCAUGUACUUUAUGAAUAAGGAUCGGCUAACUCCGUGCCAGCAGCCGCGGUAAUACGGAGGAUCCGUGCGUUAUCCGGAUUUAUUGGGUUUAAAGGGUGCGUAGAUGGGUUGUUAAGUCAGUUGUGAAAGUUUGCGGCUCAACCGGAAAAUUGCAAUUGAUACUGGCAGUCGUGAGUACAGUUGAGGUAGGCGGAAUUCGUGGUGUAGCGGUGAAAUGCUUAGAUAUCACGAAGAACCCCGAUUGCGAAGGCAGCUUACUAAACUGUGACUGACAUUGAUGCACGAAAGUGUGGGUAUCAAACAGGAUUAGAUACCCGAGUAGUC
Molecule: ribosomal RNA, 460 nt
Filed under: uncultured bacterium
Lineage: Bacteria
Description: partial 16S ribosomal RNA
Rfam family: Bacterial small subunit ribosomal RNA
Source: RNAcentral